This 1383-nucleotide ribosomal RNA is filed under the name Enterococcus durans. Its description in RNAcentral is "bacterial SSU rRNA". It matches the Rfam family "Bacterial small subunit ribosomal RNA", at positions 57 to 1397 of the family's 1533-position model. The record is from RNAcentral. Lineage: Bacteria; Bacillati; Bacillota; Bacilli; Lactobacillales; Enterococcaceae.
GCAAGUCGAACGAACUUCCGUUAUUGAUUAUGACGUACUUGUACUGAUUGAGAUUUUAACACGAAGUGAGUGGCGAACGGGUGAGUAACACGUGGGUAACCUGCCCAGAAGUAGGGGAUAACACCUGGAAACAGAUGCUAAUACCGUAUAACAGAGAAAACCGCAUGGUUUUCUUUUAAAAGAUGGCUCUGCUAUCACUUCUGGAUGGACCCGCGGCGUAUUAGCUAGUUGGUGAGGUAAAGGCUCACCAAGGCAGUGAUACGUAGCCGACCUGAGAGGGUAAUCGGCCACAUUGGGACUGAGACACGGCCCAGACUCCUACGGGAGGCAGCAGUAGGGAAUCUUCCACAAUGGACGCAAGUCUGAUGGAGCAACGCCGCGUGAGUGAAGAAGGGUUUCGGCUCGUAAAGCUCUGUUGUUAAAGAAGAACGUGGGUAAGAGUAACUGUUUACCCAGUGACGGUAUUUAACCAGAAAGCCACGGCUAACUACGUGCCAGCAGCCGCGGUAAUACGUAGGUGGCAAGCGUUAUCCGGAUUUAUUGGGCGUAAAGCGAGCGCAGGCGGUCUUUUAAGUCUAAUGUGAAAGCCUUCGGCUCAACCGAAGAAGUGCAUUGGAAACUGGGAGACUUGAGUGCAGAAGAGGACAGUGGAACUCCAUGUGUAGCGGUGAAAUGCGUAGAUAUAUGGAAGAACACCAGUGGCGAAGGCGGCUGUCUGGUCUGCAACUGACGCUGAGGCUCGAAAGCAUGGGUAGCGAACAGGAUUAGAUACCCUGGUAGUCCAUGCCGUAAACGAUGAUUACUAAGUGUUGGAGGGUUUCCGCCCUUCAGUGCUGCAGCUAACGCAUUAAGUAAUCCGCCUGGGGAGUACGACCGCAAGGUUGAAACUCAAAAGAAUUGACGGGGGCCCGCACAAGCGGUGGAGCAUGUGGUUUAAUUCGAAGCUACGCGAAGAACCUUACCAGGUCUUGACAUCUUCUGACAGUCUAAGAGAUUAGAGGUUCCCUUCGGGGACAGAAUGACAGGUGGUGCAUGGUUGUCGUCAGCUCGUGUCGUGAGAUGUUGGGUUAAGUCCCGCAACGAGCGCAACCCUUAUUACUAGUUGCCAGCAUUAAGUUGGGCACUCUAGUGAGACUGCCGGUGACAAACCGGAGGAAGGUGGGGACGACGUCAAAUCAUCAUGCCCCUUAUGACCUGGGCUACACACGUGCUACAAUGGAUGGUACAACGAGUCGCGAGACCGCGAGGUUAAGCUAAUCUCUUAAAACCAUUCUCAGUUCGGACUGUAGGCUGCAACUCGCCUACACGAAGUCGGAAUCGCUAGUAAUCGCGGAUCAGCAUGCCGCGGUGAAUACGUUCCCGGGCCUUGUACACACCGCCCGU